CCUACGGGAGGCAGCAGUGGGGAAUAUUGGGCAAUGGGCGCAAGCCUGACCCAGCAACGCCGCGUGAAGGAAGAAGGCUUUCGGGUUGUAAACUUCUUUUCUUGGGGACGAACAACUGACGGUACCCCAGGAACAAGCCACGGCUAACUACGUGCCAGCAGCCGCGGUAAUACGUAGGUGGCAAGCGUUAUCCGGAUUUAUUGGGUUUAAAGGGUGUGGAGGCGGGAAUGUAAGUCAGGGGUGAAAAGUCAGGGCUCAACCCGGGGCCGGCAUUUGAAACUGUGGUUCUUGAGUGCAGGAGAGGCAGGCGGAAUGCCGGGUGUAGCGGUGAAAUGCGUAGAUAU
RNAcentral lists this ribosomal RNA (344 nucleotides) under uncultured bacterium. RNAcentral describes it as "partial 16S ribosomal RNA". It matches the Rfam family "Bacterial small subunit ribosomal RNA", at positions 338 to 697 of the family's 1533-position model. The record is from RNAcentral.